RNAcentral lists this long non-coding RNA (293 nucleotides) under Salvia miltiorrhiza (redroot sage). RNAcentral describes it as "long non-coding RNA (SMIL_LNC001286)". The record is from RNAcentral. Lineage: Eukaryota; Viridiplantae; Streptophyta; Magnoliopsida; Lamiales; Lamiaceae.
AGGAUAAAAAAUAUUUUAUUUGGAAACUUAUAAUCUUUUUCUUUUAAAUUUAUUAUUUUCAUAUUAUAGUAUUAAAUUAAAGCUCUUGUAAUGAUCUUUAAUUUGAUAUGUAUAUUGAAUAUUUUAUGUAUUAACUAAAAAAAAGAAAUGAGAAUAAAAAAAGAAAGAAAUAAAACAAAGAAAAUUUAUAUGUUUAGUUUGAGAUUUCCAUACUGAGAGAGGUUUCCAUAUUGAAAUUUUUGUAAAGAGAAAUAUGAUUGCAGAAAAAUAAAAUAAAAAUUCCCCAUUAGUCC